Molecule: ribosomal RNA, 253 nt
Filed under: uncultured bacterium
Lineage: Bacteria
Description: partial 16S ribosomal RNA
Rfam family: Bacterial small subunit ribosomal RNA
Source: RNAcentral
UACGUAGGGCGCAAGCGUUAAUCGGAAUUACUGGGCGUAAAGCGUGCGCAGGCGGUUUGCUAAGUCCGAUGUGAAAUCCCCGGGCUUAACCUGGGAACUGCAUUGGUGACUGGCAAGCUAGAGUGUGGCAGAGGGGGGUAGAAUUCCACGUGUAGCAGUGAAAUGCGUAGAGAUGUGGAGGAAUACCGAUGGCGAAGGCAGCCCCCUGGGCCAACACUGACGCUCAUGCACGAAAGCGUGGGGAGCAAACAGG